Molecule: ribosomal RNA, 1014 nt
Filed under: uncultured Planctomycetota bacterium
Lineage: Bacteria; Pseudomonadati; Planctomycetota
Description: bacterial SSU rRNA
Rfam family: Bacterial small subunit ribosomal RNA
Source: RNAcentral
CAGCAGCCGCGGUAAUACGAAGGUGGCUAGCGUUGUUCGGUAUCACUGGGCUUAAAGCGUGUGUAGGCGGGAAAGUAAGCGUUUUGUGAAAUCCCUCGGCUUAACCGAGGAAUCGCUUGACGAACUGCUUUUCUUGAGGCAAGUAGGGGUGCAUGGAACUCUUGGUGGAGCGGUGGAAUGCGCAGAUAUCAAGAGGAACGCCGAUGGUGAAGACAAUGCACUGGGCUUGUACUGACGCUGAGACACGAAAGCGUGGGGAGCGAACGGGAUUAGAUACCCCGGUAGUCCACGCCGUAAACGAUGCCUACUAGGUUGUGGUGGUUCUGACACCACCAGCACGGCCGAAGCAAAAGUGUUAAGUAGGCCGCCUGGGGAGUACGGUCGCAAGGCUAAAACUCAAAGGAAUUGACGGGGGCUCACACAAGCGGUGGAGCAUGUGGAUUAAUUCGAAGCAACGCGCAGAACCUUACCUGGGUUUGACAUGCUUGGAUGCUUGCCUGGAAACAGGUUAAGCUGCCCUUCGGGGUGAAACUUGCACAGGUGCUGCAUGGCUGUCGUCAGCUCGUGUCGUGAGAUGUCGGGUUAAGUCCCUUAACGAGCGAAACCCUUACCAUUAGUUGCCAGCGGGUCAUGCCGGGGACUCUAGUGGGACUGCCGGUGUCAAACCGGAGGAAGGUGGGGAUGACGUCAAGUCAUCAUGGCCUUUAUGCCCAGGGCUUCACACGUGCUACAAUGGCAUCCACAGAGCGACGCAAGACCGCGAGGUGGAGCAAAUCGCAAAAAGGUUGCUCCAGUUCGGAUUGCAGGCUGGCAAUCGCCUGCAUGAAGGUGGAAUCGCUAGUAAUCGCGUAUCAGCUACGACGCGGUGAAUGUGUUCCUGAGCCUUGUACACACCGCCCGUCAAGUCACGGGAGUUGGGAGUACCCGAAGUCAGAUUGCUAACCCAGUUUAAUGGGAAGCGUCUGCCGACGGUAAGUCCGAUGACUGGGACCAAGUCGUAACAAGGUAACCGUA